AGGAUUAACGCUGGCGGCGUGCCUAAUGCAUGCAAGUCGAACGCGCCGCUCUUUCGGGGGUGGUGGCGUGGCGGACGGGUGAGGAGCGCGUGGGCAACCUGCCCAGAGGUGGGGGGUAGCCCUCGGAAACGGGGGGUAAUUCCGCAUGGGGUCGCCGAGCUCGUGGGCUCGGUGAGCAAAGGGUCUUCGGACUCGCCUUUGGAGGGGCCUGCGUCCGAUUAGCUAGUUGGGGGGUAACGCCCACCAAGGCGGUGAUCGGUAGCUGGUCUGAGAGGACGGCCAGCCACACGGGGACUGAGACACGGCCCCGACUCCUACGGGAGGCAGCAGCAAGGAAUUUCCGCAAUGGGCGAAAGCCUGACGGAGCAACGCCGCGUGGCGGGAGGACGCCGUUUCGGGGUGUAAACCGUCUUUCGCGGGGACGACGACCGACGGUACCCGGAGGAACGAAGGCCCGGCUAACGUACGUGCCAGCAGCCGC
RNAcentral lists this ribosomal RNA (481 nucleotides) under uncultured soil bacterium. RNAcentral's name for it is "bacterial SSU rRNA". It matches the Rfam family "Bacterial small subunit ribosomal RNA", at positions 26 to 518 of the family's 1533-position model. The record is from RNAcentral.